RNAcentral lists this ribosomal RNA (375 nucleotides) under uncultured bacterium. RNAcentral's name for it is "bacterial SSU rRNA". It matches the Rfam family "Bacterial small subunit ribosomal RNA", at positions 523 to 898 of the family's 1533-position model. The record is from RNAcentral.
AUACGUAGGGAGCGAGCGUUGUCCGGAAUUACUGGGCGUAAAGGGUGCGUAGGCGGCGUAAUAAGUCAGAUGUGAAAUACCCGGGCUUAACUCGGGGGGUGCAUUUGAAACUAUUAGGCUUGAGUGCAGGAGAGGAAAGCGGAAUUCCUAGUGUAGCGGUGAAAUGCGUAGAUAUUAGGAGGAACACCAGUGGCGAAGGCGGCUUUCUGGACUGCAACUGACGCUGAGGCACGAAAGCGUGGGGAGCAAACAGGAUUAGAUACCCUGGUAGUCCACGCUGUAAACGAUGGAUACUAGGUGUAGGGGAGAUACUACCUCUGUGCCGGAGCUAACGCAAUAAGUAUCCCGCCUGGGGAGUACGGUCGCAAGGCUGAA